AACGCUAGCUACAGGCUUAACACAUGCAAGUCGAGGGGAAACGACAUCGAAAGCUUGCUUUUGAUGGGCAUCGACCGGCGCACGGGUGAGUAACGCGUAUCCAACCUGUCCACCACUUGGGGAUAACCUUGCGAAAGUAAGACUAAUACCCAAUGAUAUCCCACGAAGGCAUCCGAAUGGGAUUAAAGAUUUAUCGGUGAUGGAUGGGGAUGCGUCUGAUUAGCUUGUUGGCGGGGUAACGGCCCACCAAGGCUACGAUCAGUAGGGGUUCUGAGAGGAAGGUCCCCCACAUUGGAACUGAGACACGGUCCAAACUCCUACGGGAGGCAGCAGUGAGGAAUAUUGGUCAAUGGACGAGAGUCUGAACCAGCCAAGUAGCGUGCAGGACGACGGCCCUAUGGGUUGUAAACUGCUUUUAUAAGGGAAUAAAGUGAGCCUCGUGAGGCUUUUUGCAUGUACCUUAUGAAUAAGGACCGGCUAAUUCCGUGCCAGCAGCCGCGGUAAUACGGAAGGUCCGGGCGUUAUCCGGAUUUAUUGGGUUUAAAGGGAGCGUAGGCCGGAGAUUAAGCGUGUUGUGAAAUGUAGGCGCUCAACGUCUGCACUGCAGCGCGAACUGGUUUCCUUGAGUACGCACAAAGUGGGCGGAAUUCGUGGUGCAGCGGUGAAAUGCUUAGAUAUCACGAAGAACUCCGAUUG
RNAcentral lists this ribosomal RNA (696 nucleotides) under uncultured bacterium. RNAcentral describes it as "bacterial SSU rRNA". It matches the Rfam family "Bacterial small subunit ribosomal RNA", at positions 32 to 715 of the family's 1533-position model. The record is from RNAcentral.